GAUGAACGCUGGCGGCGUGCCUAAUACAUGCAAGUCGAGCGAACAGACGAGGAGCUUGCUCCUCUGACGUUAGCGGCGGACGGGUGAGUAACACGUGGAUAACCUACCUAUAAGCCUGGGAUAACUUCGGGAAACCGGAGCUAAUACCGGAUAAUAUAUUGAACCGCAUGGUUCAAUAGUGAAAGACGGCUUUGCUGUCACUUAUAGAUGGAUCCGCGCCGCAUUAGCUAGUUGGUAAGGUAACGGCUUACCAAGGCAACGAUGCGUAGCCGACCUGAGAGGGUGAUCGGCCACACUGGAACUGAGACACGGUCCAGACUCCUACGGGAGGCAGCAGUAGGGAAUCUUCCGCAAUGGGCGAAAGCCUGACGGAGCAACGCCGCGUGAGUGAUGAAGGUCUUCGGAUCGUAAAACUCUGUUAUUAGGGAAGAACAAAUGUGUAAGUAACUAUGCACGUCUUGACGGUACCUAAUCAGAAAGCCACGGCUAACUACGUG
RNAcentral lists this ribosomal RNA (497 nucleotides) under uncultured bacterium. RNAcentral's name for it is "partial 16S ribosomal RNA". It matches the Rfam family "Bacterial small subunit ribosomal RNA", at positions 28 to 507 of the family's 1533-position model. The record is from RNAcentral.